UGGCUUUAUAGGUUUAUUGUUUCACUUUGACAGAGCUAGGCUAACGACUCCCAUAGACUUCAAGUCUUUUUGCUAAGCUAAUACAAAAUGCUAUCCAUAGGAACUGAACUACUGGAUGUACAGAGGUGAACAUCAUGUCUCACAUCUUGUCUCGGUCUGGGUAAAUCGGAAAAAGGG
Myripristis murdjan (pinecone soldierfish) is the source of this 177-nucleotide long non-coding RNA. RefSeq lists it as uncharacterized. The record is from RefSeq and is a predicted model, not a curated record. The transcript is spliced from 3 exons. Lineage: Eukaryota; Metazoa; Chordata; Actinopteri; Holocentriformes; Holocentridae.